RNAcentral lists this ribosomal RNA (761 nucleotides) under uncultured Planctomycetaceae bacterium. Its description in RNAcentral is "bacterial SSU rRNA". It matches the Rfam family "Bacterial small subunit ribosomal RNA", at positions 8 to 796 of the family's 1533-position model. Lineage: Bacteria; Pseudomonadati; Planctomycetota; Planctomycetia; Planctomycetales; Planctomycetaceae. The record is from RNAcentral.
AGAGUUUGAUCCUGGCUCAGCCUGAACGCUGGCGGCGUGGCUAAGACAUGCAAGUCGCACGGUGGCAGCAAUGCCACAGUGGCGAACGGGUGAGUAAUGAAUCGCUAACGUACCCCGGACUCCGGGAUAGCUCUCCGAAAGGGGAGGUAAUACCGGGUAACAUACCCCGCAGGCAUCUGCGGGGUCUCAAAGGUCCGCCGGUCUGGGAGCGGGCGAUUUCGUAUCAGCUAGUUGGUGGGGUAACGGCCCACCAAGGCGACGACGCGUAGCCGGACUGAGAGGUUGGCCGGCCACAUCGGGACUGAGACACUGCCCGGACUCCUACGGGGGGCUGCAGUAACGAAUCUUCCGCAAUGCACGAAAGUGUGACGGAGCGACGCCGCGUGUGGGACGAAGCCCUUCGGGGUGUAAACCACUGUCAGGGGGUACCAAGUUCUGAGGGCCCCCAGAGGAAGGCACGGCUAACUCUGUGCCAGCAGCCGCGGUAAGACAGAGGUGCCGAGCGUUAGGCGGAAUCACUGGGCUUAAAGCGUGUGUAGGCGGGCCGUUAAGUGCCCCGUGAAAUCCCACGGCUCAACCGUGGAACCGCGGGACAUACUGGCGGUCUUGAGAGACCUAGGGGCGAGCGGAACAAGCGGUGGAGCGGUGAAAUGCGUAGAUAUCGCUUGGAACGCCGACGGUGAAAACAGCUCGCUGGGGGUCUUCUGACGCUGAGACACGAAAGCCAGGGGAGCGAACGGGAUUAGAUACCCCGGUAGUCC